Non-coding RNA from Papiliotrema laurentii, 89 nucleotides. The record is from the annotation of a GenBank genome assembly. NCBI's taxonomy places the organism in Eukaryota, Fungi, Basidiomycota, Tremellomycetes, Tremellales, Rhynchogastremaceae.
GGGGUUGUGUCCCAGUGGUUAAGGAGCCUGCUUUGCAAUACUAAUUGACUUUAAGCAGGAGAUCCAGGGUUCGAUUCCCUGCAACUCCA